UACAGAGGGUGCGAGCGUUGUCCGGAAUCACUGGGCGUAAAGGGCGCGUAGGUGGCGCCGCAAGUCCAUGGUGAAAGCUCGAUGCUCAACAUCGAGUCGGCCACGGAGACUGCGGGGCUCGAGCACUGUAGGGGCAGAUGGAAUUCCGGGUGUAGCGGUGGAAUGCGUAGAGAUCCGGAAGAACACCGGUGGCGAAGGCGGCGACCUGGUCCUUUUACUGACGCUGAGGCGCGAAAGCGUGGGGAGCAAACAGG
This 254-nucleotide ribosomal RNA is filed under the name uncultured bacterium. RNAcentral describes it as "partial 16S ribosomal RNA". It matches the Rfam family "Bacterial small subunit ribosomal RNA", at positions 524 to 776 of the family's 1533-position model. The record is from RNAcentral.